This 1044-nucleotide ribosomal RNA is filed under the name Triticum aestivum (bread wheat). RNAcentral's name for it is "partial small subunit ribosomal RNA". Lineage: Eukaryota; Viridiplantae; Streptophyta; Magnoliopsida; Poales; Poaceae. The record is from RNAcentral.
AUGGAAAAUGCCUGCGAAGACAUCACCAAUGUCGUGCGCUCGGUGAAGCUGCUUAGGAUUGACGGCUACUGCACCACCGAAACAAUGGGCCAUGGGGAUUGCAUCAGAUCCAGUUUGAACGUUGGUGGGUACGAGUGGGAGAUCUGCAUUUACCCUGCCAUGAGAGACACAGAUGGCACUCGGGCCAACCUCAGCUGCUGUUUGGUUGAUCUCACUGGCGCACGUGUACCAUUAGGGGGGAGCGUGUCAUGGAUAUUCAACCGCCCAUGGACAUUCUGCUAUCUUGUAAAGUGCUCGCCUGUCGCCCGAGAAAAUAUCUCGCCUCCGGUUCGUCUCAUAUCAACAGGCAAGCUACCAUUAUCUGGUUUUCUCCUAAAUGAUUCCUUUACUGUGGAAUGCACCAUCACCGUGUUUAAGGAGGAUUUGCCAGCACCAGCAACAACCCCAGGUAAACAAGUGUCUGGCUCUGGGUCAUCACCUAGCUUGCAAGACCACCUCGCUGAACUCCUGCGCAGUGGAAUGGAAGCGGAUGUCACAUUUCUUGUGUCCGGCAAGUCUUUCGCUGCGCACAAGCUCAUUCUCGCUGCAAGGUCCCCUGUCCUUAUGGCUGAGUUCUUUGGGGACAUGAAGGAGACGAGCUCUCGGUGUGUGGAGAUCAAGGACAUGAAAGCGGAGGUAUUCGAGCCGUUGCUUUACUUCAUCUACACUGACUCUGUUCUGGAAUUCAGUCUUCAGCAUGAGAGAGUGACCAUGCUGGCUCAGCAUCUGCUUGCAGCUGCCGACAGGUAUGGAUUGGACAGGCUGAAGCAGAUCUGCGAAGGCAAGCUCUCUGAUGGCAUUAGUGUCGACACGGCAGCGAUAACUCUGGCUUUAGCCGAGCAGCACUACUGCCCACAGCUCAAGGUUAAGUGUGUCGACUUCAUUGUUAGCACUCCUGCAAUCCUUGAUGCUGUGUUGGCGACGGAUGGAUAUAAGCAUCUGGAGGCAAGCUGUCCUAUGGUAUUGCCUGAGCUUCUCAAGUCUGCGCGGGGCAGAAAGAAUUGA